This 301-nucleotide ribosomal RNA is filed under the name uncultured bacterium. Its description in RNAcentral is "partial 16S ribosomal RNA". It matches the Rfam family "Bacterial small subunit ribosomal RNA", at positions 509 to 807 of the family's 1533-position model. The record is from RNAcentral.
CAGUCGCCGCGGGAAUACGGAGGGAGCUAGCGUUGUUCGGAAUUAAUGGGCGUAAAGCGCGCGUAGGCGGUUACUCAAGUCAGAGGUGAAAGCCCGGGGCUCAACCCCGGAACUGCCUUUGAAACUAGGUGACUAGAAUCUUGGAGAGGUCAGUGGAAUUCCGAGUGUAGAGGUGAAAUUCGUAGAUAUUCGGAAGAACACCAGUGGCGAAGGCGACUGACUGGACAAGUAUUGACGCUGAGGUGCGAAAGCGUGGGGAGCAAACAGGAUUAGAUACCCGAGUAGUCCCUGUCUCUUAUAC